GCAAGUCGAGCGGUAGAGAGAAGCUUGCUUCUCUUGAGAGCGGCGGACGGGUGAGUAAUGCCUAGGAAUCUGCCUGGUAGUGGGGGAUAACGCUCGGAAACGGACGCUAAUACCGCAUACGUCCUACGGGAGAAAGCAGGGGACCUUCGGGCCUUGCGCUAUCAGAUGAGCCUAGGUCGGAUUAGCUAGUUGGUGAGGUAAUGGCUCACCAAGGCGACGAUCCGUAACUGGUCUGAGAGGAUGAUCAGUCACACUGGAACUGAGACACGGUCCAGACUCCUACGGGAGGCAGCAGUGGGGAAUAUUGGACAAUGGGCGAAAGCCUGAUCCAGCCAUGCCGCGUGUGUGAAGAAGGUCUUCGGAUUGUAAAGCACUUUAAGUUGGGAGGAAGGGCAGUAAAUUAAUACUUUGCUGUUUUGACGUUACCGACAGAAUAAGCACCGGCUAACUCUGUGCCAGCAGCCGCGGUAAUACAGAGGGUGCAAGCGUUAAUCGGAAUUACUGGGCGUAAAGCGCGCGUAGGUGGUUCGUUAAGUUGGAUGUGAAAUCCCCGGGCUCAACCUGGGAACUGCAUUCAAAACUGUCGAGCUAGAGUAU
Molecule: ribosomal RNA, 597 nt
Filed under: Pseudomonas sp. a4(2015)
Lineage: Bacteria; Pseudomonadati; Pseudomonadota; Gammaproteobacteria; Pseudomonadales; Pseudomonadaceae
Description: bacterial SSU rRNA
Rfam family: Bacterial small subunit ribosomal RNA
Source: RNAcentral